UUUUCNCAAUGGNCGCAAGCCUGNUGGNGCAACGCCGCGUGCAGGAUGAAGGCUUUCGGGUCGUAAACUGCUUUUAUCUGUGACGAUUAUGACGGUAGCAGAGGAAUAAGGGUCGGCUAACUACGUGCCAGCAGCCGCGGUCAUACGUAGGACCCAAGCGUUAUCCGGAAUUACNUGGGCGUAAAGAGUUGCGUAGGUGGCAGAGUAAGCAAGACAUGAAAUCGUGUGGCUCAACCAUACAUCCAUGUUUUGAACUGCUCAGCUUGAGGACAAGAGAGGUAGUUGGAAUUCCCAGUGUAGGAGUGAAAUCCGUAGAGAUUGGGAGGAACACCGAUGGCGUAGGCAGACUACUGGCUUGUUCCUGACACUCAGGCACGAAAGCGUGGGGAGCGACCGGGAUUAGAUACCCCGUUAGUCCACGCCGUAAACUAUGGAUGCUAGUUGUUAUGGGUAUCGACCCCCGUAGUAACGAAGCUAACGCGUUAAGCAUCCCGCCUGUGGAGUACGGCCGCAAGGCUAAAACUCAAAGGAAUUGACGGA
This 540-nucleotide ribosomal RNA is filed under the name uncultured bacterium. RNAcentral's name for it is "bacterial SSU rRNA". It matches the Rfam family "Bacterial small subunit ribosomal RNA", at positions 363 to 917 of the family's 1533-position model. The record is from RNAcentral.